GGAGAAGGGCGCAGGCUGAAGGGACCAGAACAAGACACAGAUGAAGAUUUAGUAUGUGAGGAGUCUGAAGAUUUAGAGAGGGAAAGACCUCGUCCUCAGGGUUCCUCUCCUGUUGAGGAAUUCCCAACCACAGAGAAAUACGCAAAACAAGCUGAAGGUGACUUCUAUGACUCACCCGCCAAGAGUUCCAAAAAAAGCAAAAGGACUGGUCUCGGCUCACUGUUUGACAA
Carassius gibelio (silver crucian carp) is the source of this 230-nucleotide long non-coding RNA. RefSeq lists it as uncharacterized. The record is from RefSeq and is a predicted model, not a curated record. The transcript is spliced from 3 exons. NCBI's taxonomy places the organism in Eukaryota, Metazoa, Chordata, Actinopteri, Cypriniformes, Cyprinidae.